GCUGUGAUGGCCGAGAGGUUAAAGGCGUUGGACUUCGAAAUCCAAUGGGGUUUCCUGUGGAGUGAUAACAGGUUCGGAACCCUGCUUUCGCAGCG
Molecule: transfer RNA, 95 nt
Filed under: Alosa alosa (allis shad)
Lineage: Eukaryota; Metazoa; Chordata; Actinopteri; Clupeiformes; Clupeidae
Description: tRNA-Arg
Rfam family: tRNA
About the family: Transfer RNA (tRNA) molecules are approximately 80 nucleotides in length.
Source: RNAcentral